Molecule: ribosomal RNA, 526 nt
Filed under: uncultured bacterium
Lineage: Bacteria
Description: bacterial SSU rRNA
Rfam family: Bacterial small subunit ribosomal RNA
Source: RNAcentral
AGAGUUUGAUCCUGGCUCAGGAUGAACGCUAGCUACAGGCUUAACACAUGCAAGUCGAGGGGAAACGACAUCGAAAGCUUGCUUUUGAUGGGCGUCGACCGGCGCACGGGUGAGUAACGCGUAUCCAACCUGCCCACCACUUGGGAAUAACCUUGCGAAAGUAAGACUAAUACCCAAUGACGUCUCUAGAAGACAUCUGAAAGAGAUUAAAGAUUUAUCGGUGAUGGAUGGGGAUGCGUCUGAUUAGCUUGUUGGCGGGGUAACGGCCCACCAAGGCAACGAUCAGUAGGGGUUCUGAGAGGAAGGUCCCCCACAUUGGAACUGAGACACGGUCCAAACUCCUACGGGAGGCAGCAGUGAGGAAUAUUGGUCAAUGGACGAGAGUCUGAACCAGCCAAGUAGCGUGCAGGAAGACGGCCCUAUGGGUUGUAAACUGCUUUUAUAAGGGAAUAAAGUGAGUCUCGUGAGACUUUUUGCAUGUACCUUAUGAAUAAGUACCGGCUAAUUCCGUGCCAGCAGCCGCGGU